CAGGCUUAACACAUGCAAGUCGAGGGGCAUCAGGAAGAAAGCUUGCUUUCUUUGCUGGCGACCGGCGCACGGGUGAGUAACACGUAUCCAACCUGCCCUUUACUCGGGGAUAGCCUUUCGAAAGAAAGAUUAAUACCCGAUAGCAUAAUGAUUCCGCAUGGUUUCAUUAUUAAAGGAUUCCGGUAAAGGAUGGGGAUGCGUUCCAUUAGGUUGUUGGUGAGGUAACGGCCCACCAAGCCUUCGAUGGAUAGGGGUUCUGAGAGGAAGGUCCCCCACAUUGGAACUGAGACACGGUCCAAACUCCUACGGGAGGCAGCAGUGAGGAAUAUUGGUCAAUGGGCGCUAGCCUGAACCAGCCAAGUAGCGUGAAGGAUAAAGGCUCUAUGGGUCGUAAACUUCUUUUAUAUAAGAAUAAAGUGCAGUAUGUAUACUGUUUUGUAUGUAUUAUAUGAAUAAGGAUCGGCUAACUCCGUGCCAGCAGCCGCGGUAAUACGGAGGAUCCGAGCGUUAUCCGGAUUUAUUGGGUUUAAAGGGAGCGUAGGUGGACUGGUAAGUCAGUUGUGAAAGUUUGCGGCUCAACCGUAAAAUUGCAGUUGAUACUGUCAGUCUUGAGUACAGUAGAGGUGGGCGGAAUUCGUGGUGUAGCGGUGAAAUGCUUAGAUAUCACGAAGAACUCCGAUUGCGAAGGCAGCUCACUGGACUGCAACUGACACUGAUGCUCGAAAGUGUGGGUAUCAAACAGGAUUAGAUACCCUGGUAGUCCACACAGUAAACGAUGAAUACUCGCUGUUUGCGAUAUACAGUAAGCGGCCAAGCGAAAGCAUUAAGUAUUCCACCUGGGGAGUACGCCGGCAACGGUGAAACCCAAAGGAAUUGACGGGGGCCCGCACAAGCGGAGGAACAUGUGGUUUAAUUCGAUGAUACGCGAGGAACCUUACCCGGGCUUAAAUUGCAGUGGAAUGAUGUGGAAACAUGUCAGUGAGCAAUCACCGCUGUGAAGGUGCUGCAUGGUUGUCGUCAGCUCGUGCCGUGAGGUGUCGGCUUAAGUGCCAUAACGAGCGCAACCCUUAUCUUCAGUUACUAACAGGUUAUGCUGAGGACUCUGGAGAGACUGCCGUCGUAAGAUGUGAGGAAGGUGGGGAUGACGUCAAAUCAGCACGGCCCUUACGUCCGGGGCUACACACGUGUUACAAUGGGGGGUACAGAAGGCAGCUACCUGGUGACAGGAUGCUAAUCCCAAAAGCCUCUCUCAGUUCGGAUCGAAGUCUGCAACCCGACUUCGUGAAGCUGGAUUCGCUAGUAAUCGCGCAUCAGCCACGGCGCGGUGAAUACGCUCCCGGGCCUUGUACACACCGCCCGUCAAGCCAUGGGAGCCGGGGGUACCUGAAGUACGUAACCGCAAGGAUCGUCCUAGGGUAAAACUGGUGACUGGGGCUAAGUCAUAACAA
This 1448-nucleotide ribosomal RNA is filed under the name uncultured organism. RNAcentral's name for it is "SSU rRNA". It matches the Rfam family "Bacterial small subunit ribosomal RNA". The record is from RNAcentral.